This 445-nucleotide ribosomal RNA is filed under the name uncultured bacterium. Its description in RNAcentral is "bacterial SSU rRNA". It matches the Rfam family "Bacterial small subunit ribosomal RNA", at positions 28 to 489 of the family's 1533-position model. The record is from RNAcentral.
GACGAACGCUGGCGGCGUGCCUAACACAUGCAAGUCGAACGGGAAAGUGGAGCAAUCCAUGAGUAUAGUGGCGACCGGGUGAGUAACACGUGACUAACCUACCUUCAAGUGGGGGAUAACCUCGGGAAACCGGGGCUAAUACCGCAUAAAAUCUCUGUUAUGAGAAAGCAGGGAUCAAAGGAGCAAUUCGCUGGAAGAGGGGGUCGCGGCUGAUUAGCUAGUUGGUGGGGUAAUGGCCCACCAAGGCUUUGAUCGGUAGCCGGCCUGAGAGGGCGCACGGCCACACUGGAACUGAAACACGGUCCAGACUCCUACGGGAGGCAGCAGUGGGGAAUUUUGCGCAAGUGGGGGAAACCCUGACGCAGCAACGCCGCGUGGAGGAUGAAGUCCCUUGGGACGUAAACUCCUUUCGACCGGGAAGAUUAUGACGGUACCGGUGGAAGAA